AAUCCACAGAGGACUACACUUACAGGCAGGAUUGGAUUGGUGGUCGGUGUAAACUUUAAGUGAAGCCUCUCCUGUUUAGGCUUCUCGAAUUUUCAAAACUCAAAUGGCAAUGGCAUAGACCUGGAUGAGGCACAUGGUCUUCAAGUCUACCUCAGCUUCAAUGGUCAAACCCUUGAACGUGCAUGAGAGGACCGUGGUCAAUUACAGGAUAUUUAUUUGAGAGAGAGAGGAAGAGAGAGCAGAGGGAGGAGCAUAAAGAGAGACAGACUCCCAAGAAGACUCUGUGCUGAGCCAGUGGGGCUCCAUCCCAGGACCUUGAGACCAUGACCAGGUUGGAAAUCAAGAGUCAGAUGUUUAAGCAACUGAACCACCCAGGCACUCCAGAAAAUAAUCUUACAACAUUUUGAGUAAAAAAAGGUGUGGAGCUCUGCAAGGGACCUAGGACUCUGCAUUUCUACCAGCCUGCUGGUGCAGCAACUACUGGCCUCCAUCCCACACUCUAAGUGCUAGGGAUCUAGGGCCAUGAGCAUCAUAAGACCAGGAGCUAUCUUAUUCCUCUUUGUAUAUCCAGGGCAUAUUCUGGUGAAUAUCGCUGACAGCCGGCCCACAAGUGUUUGCAGGGUGGAUGGCAGAUGCAUGUAAAAAGCAAAAUGCAAAGCUGAGACAAAUGUAUUUUGGUUCUCUUCUGUUCCCAGGGUCUCCUAGGAAGCUAGGCUUAUAAAAGCCAAGAGAGCUUCUACCAUUCUCAAGUUCUCUACAACCAGAACUGACAAUUGGAGGCAAAAGUGAAUUUUCUAUUCAAAAUAAGGAAGUACUUUCGAAGAAUAGGAGCAUUCAAACCACAAGUGGUCUGAGGUCAUGCAUUUUCUAUCACUGGACGUGCUCAGGCUUAGGCAGCAUAGCCAUCCUUGGGUUGAUAAUAAUGCAGAUCCAUGUGCCUGGCUGAUAGGACCAGAGAACAUUUAAGAUUUCUCCCCAUCCUAAAAUCCUUCGGGAGUAAAGUUUGAAGGAAAUGGAGGUUACCCUUUAGGCAGUAGUUUAAAUUCUGGCACGUUCU
Long non-coding RNA from Nyctereutes procyonoides (raccoon dog), 1057 nucleotides. RefSeq lists it as uncharacterized. The transcript is spliced from 3 exons. Lineage: Eukaryota; Metazoa; Chordata; Mammalia; Carnivora; Canidae. The record is from RefSeq and is a predicted model, not a curated record.